GACGAACGCUGGCGGCGUGCUUAACACAUGCAAGUCGAACGGAAAGACCCUGCUUUUGUGGGGUGCUCGAGUGGCGAACGGGUGAGUAACACGUGAGUAACCUUCCCUUGACUUUGGGAUAACUUCAGGAAACUGGGGCUAAUACCGGAUAGGAGCUCCUGCUGCAUGGUGGGGGUUGGAAAGUUUCGGCGGUUGGGGAUGGACUCGCGGCUUAUCAGCUUGUUGGUGGGGUAGUGGCUUACCAAGGCUUUGACGGGUAGCCGGCCUGAGAGGGUGACCGGCCACAUUGGGACUGAGAUACGGCCCAGACUCCUACGGGAGGCAGCAGUGGGGAAUAUUGCACAAUGGGCGGAAGCCUGAUGCAGCAACGCCGCGUGCGGGAUGACGGCCUUCGGGUUGUAAACCGCUUUCGCCUGUGACGAAGCGUGAGUGACGGUAAUGGGUAAAGAAGCACCGGCUAACUACGUG
This 468-nucleotide ribosomal RNA is filed under the name uncultured bacterium. Its description in RNAcentral is "partial 16S ribosomal RNA". It matches the Rfam family "Bacterial small subunit ribosomal RNA", at positions 28 to 507 of the family's 1533-position model. The record is from RNAcentral.